AUAUUAGUCAAUGCUCGAAAGAGUGAACUAGCUAACUGAAAUCAUAGUUGUGUCAACUGUGAAUAGUGAGAGAAAAUAAUGAUAUUAUCUUAACUAUAAGUGUCGUCAAAAUACUAGUGCCAGAAGACUCGGUAAGGCUAGAGACACAAACGUUAGUCAUCUUUAACAGGCGUAAAGGGUUUGUAGGCUGCUUUAAAAAUUUUAUAAUUAUUCCUUAGUACUAUAUAGAACAAUUAUAAAAUUGUAUUAAAGCUAGAAUCAAGAAGAGGUUAAAAUAAUAUUUAGAUCUAAAUUGACAAUCGUAAAUCUUAAGUAGAAUACUAAUGGCGAAAGCUUUUUUCUAUUACUGAUUGACGCUGAGAAACUAAGGGGAGGAAAGAAAAAAGGAUUAGAGACCCUCGUAUCCCUCUCUGUCAACGAUGAAUGGUAGUUACUAAUUUUAAAAAAUUAGAGGCGAUGUUAACACGAAAACCAUUCCGCCUUGUGAGUACGACUGCAAAGUUGAAAACAAAAAAAUUAGUCGGUUUUGGAGCAAACGAAGUGAAGCAUGUUAUUUAA
Molecule: ribosomal RNA, 558 nt
Filed under: Peniophorella praetermissa
Lineage: Eukaryota; Fungi; Basidiomycota; Agaricomycetes; Hymenochaetales
Description: SSU rRNA
Rfam family: Bacterial small subunit ribosomal RNA
Source: RNAcentral